UCAGGCCUAACACAUGCAAGUCGAACGGCAGCACGGACUUCGGUCUGGUGAAGAAUGGCGAACGGGUGAGUAAUACAUCGGAACGUGCCCAGUCGUGGGGGAUAACGUAGCGAAAGCUACGCUAAUACCGCAUACGAUCUAAGGAUGAAAGCGGGGGAUCGCAAGACCUCGCGCGAUUGGAGCGGCCGAUGGCAGAUUAGGUAGUUGGUAGGGUAAAGGCCUACCAAGCCGACGAUCUGUAGCUGGUCUGAGAGGAUGAUCAGCCACACUGGGAUUGAGACACGGCCCAGACUCCUACGGGAGGCAGCAGUGGGGAAUUUUGGACAAUGGACGCAAGUC
Molecule: ribosomal RNA, 339 nt
Filed under: uncultured bacterium
Lineage: Bacteria
Description: bacterial SSU rRNA
Rfam family: Bacterial small subunit ribosomal RNA
Source: RNAcentral